This is an RNA transcript of Glycine soja, 2102 nucleotides long. RefSeq lists it as uncharacterized. The transcript has 3 exons. The record is from RefSeq and is a predicted model, not a curated record. Lineage: Eukaryota; Viridiplantae; Streptophyta; Magnoliopsida; Fabales; Fabaceae.
GUGAAGAAGAUGAGUUUGCAAACUCUUGUAAUGCUGCUGCAAGUGCAAAGACAAAGUGUGGGACUAAAAAAGGACCAAUGGACAAAUUUUGUAAGAAUCCAGAAAAUGCAAUCAAUCGGAGAAAAAUGGAGAUGCUGAGGCAAAUGAACAUAAGAGAGUCAAUGGAUAAGAAUGAAGUAUUGAAGGUGCAUCAACAUAUUGUUCGCUUUUGGUACCAAGCAAGUUUGUCAUUCAACCUCAUUAAAUUGAAAAGCUUUGAGAACAUGGUUGCAGCCAUUGGUCAAUAUGGGCCACAUUUGCCCAUUCCUAGCUAUCAUGACAUCAGAGUUCCACUCUUGAAGAAGGAAGUUGAAUAUACUGAAAAUUUGAUGAAAGGCCAUAGGGAGCAAUAGGUCAAGUAUGGUUGUACUAUUAUGUCCGAUGCAUGGACUGAUCGGAAACAAAGAUGCAUCAUUAAUUUUUUUAUUAACUCUCAAGCUGGUACCAUGUUUUUGAAGUCUGUUGAUGGCUCUGAUUUUGUAAAGACAGGUAAAAAGCUUUUUGAGUUGCUUGAUGCCAUUGUGGAGGAAGUUGGAGAAGAGAAUGUUGUUCAAGUUGUAACCGAUAAUGGGAGCAACUAUGUUUUAGCGGGUAAGUUGUUGGAGGAGAAAAGGAAACAUAUUUAUUGGACUCCUUGUGCAGCUCAUUGUAUUGAUUUGAUGCUUGAAGAUAUUGGGAAGCUUCCCUUGAUAAGGAAGACAAUUAGAAGGGUAAUUAAUCUAGUUGGGUUUAUCUAUGCCCAUUCUAGUACCUUAAGUUUGUUGAGAAAUUUUACAAACAAGAGGGAAUUGGUGAGACAUGCUAUUACUAGAUUUACACUCUUAAAGUCAUGGCUCCACUUGUGAAAGUGCUUCGUCUUGUGGAUGGUGAAAGGAAACCAGCCAUGGGCUAUAUUUAUGAAGCAAUGGACAAGGCAAAAGAAACAAUUAUCAAGUCUUUCAACAACAAUGAAAGCAAGUACAAAGAUGUGUUUGCAAUCAUUGAUUAAAGAUGGAAUUGUCAGCUUCAUAGGCCAUUGCAUGCAGCUGCCCACUUCUUAAAUCCAGAGUUCUUUUAUGACAACACUGACUUGGAGUUUGAUUUUGAGGUCACCAAUGGUUUGUUUGAGUGCAUUAAGAAGUUGAUUCCACAAUUUGAUGUGCAACAGAAAAUUCUAACCGAGUUGCAUCUUUACAAGAUUGGUGUUGACCACUUUGGUUCCGACUUUGCAAUGGCUCAAAGGAAAACCCAUUCUCCUACAUAUUGGUGGCGAAUGUUUAGGUCACAAACUCCAAAUUUGCAGAAGCUAGCUAUUAAAAUUGAGUUUGACUUGCAGUGCUUCAGGAUGUGAAAGAAAUUGGAGUGUGUUUGAGCAAAUUCAUUCCAAAAAAAGAAAUAGGCUUGAGCACAAGAGGUUGCAUGAUUUGGUGUUUGUCAAAUACAACCAACAAUUGAAGCAAAGAUAUAAUGCAAGAGAUGAAAUUGAUCCAAUUUCUCUUAAUGAUAUUGAUGUAUGCAAUGAAUGGCUCGUGGGAGAGAUGGAUCAAGAUGAUGAUAAUGAUGCUGGAAAUGAUUUGGUAUUUGAAGAUGAUGAUGCUCUAAAUUGGGCAACUGUGUAUCAGGCUUCGGGGGUUGGAGAGUGUAGGAUGUAUACUAGGCGAAAAAAGCAAAAAACAAGUGUUGCUGCUGCCCAAACUUCUAAAAAACAGGCAAUGGUUGUUGGAUCUUCAUCAAGGAAGCAAAAAGCAGUCCAAGAAAAUGAUGAGAAUCUAGAUGUUGAGGAGAAUAUUGAUGUUGAAUCUGAAGAAGAAGAAAUCAUGGUCAAUUUUGAGGCGUCUGAUGGGGAAGAGGGAGAGGGAAAUGCUCCAUUACCAUAUGAUAACAACGAAGAUGAUUAUGUUGGGAUUGGAGAAGAUGAUUAGAGCCUCAACCUUCACUUUGCACUUUGCAUUAUGUUUUUAUCAUUUUCUUAUUUUGAACUCUUUAAUGAGUUUAUUUGGUGUUGGUACUUGAUUAUUGUAUGAACUCAUGAAACUUUUUUAGUUUAUUUGAAUGCAAUCCUUUGUUUUUUUCAAUUUCAAUGA